This 397-nucleotide ribosomal RNA is filed under the name uncultured bacterium. RNAcentral's name for it is "partial 16S ribosomal RNA". It matches the Rfam family "Bacterial small subunit ribosomal RNA", at positions 523 to 918 of the family's 1533-position model. The record is from RNAcentral.
AUACGUAGGGGGCGAGCGUUGUCCGGAAUGAUUGGGCGUAAAGGGCGCGUAGGCGGCCCGGUAAGUCUGGAGUGAAAGUCCUGCUUUUAAGGUGGGAAUUGCUUUGGAUACUGUCGGGCUUGAGUGCAGGAGAGGUAAGUGGAAUUCCCAGUGUAGCGGUGAAAUGCGUAGAGAUUGGGAGGAACACCAGUGGCGAAGGCGACUUACUGGACUGUAACUGACGCUGAGGCGCGAAAGUGUGGGGAGCAAACAGGAUUAGAUACCCUGGUAGUCCACACUGUAAACGAUGAAUGCUAGGUGUAGGGGGUAUCGACCCCUUCUGUGCCGCGGUUAACACAAUAAGCAUUCCGCCUGGGGAGUACGGCCGCAAGGUUGAAACUCAAAUGAAUUGACGGGG